GCUAGUUGUGCGGGUUUAGACCCGCAGCGGAAAGCUCAGUAACACGUGGCCAAGCUACCCUGUGGACGGGAAUACUCUCGGGAAACUGAGGCUAAUCCCCGAUAACGCUUUGCUCCUGGAAGGGGCAAAGCCGGAAACGCUCCGGCGCCACAGGAUGCGGCUGCGGUCGAUUAGGUAGACGGUGGGGUAACGGCCCACCGUGCCCAUAAUCGGUACGGGUUGUGAGAGCAAGAGCCCGGAGACGGAAUCUGAGACAAGAUUCCGGGCCCUACGGGGCGCAGCAGGCGCGAAACCUUUACACUGUACGAAAGUGCGAUAAGGGGACUCCGAGUGUGAAGGCAUAGAGCCUUCACUUUUGUACACCGUAAGGUGGUGCACGAAUAAGGACUGGGCAAGACCGGUGCCAGCCGCCGCGGUAAUACCGGCAGUCCGAGUGAUGGCCGAUCUUAUUGGGCCUAAAGCGUCCGUAGCUGGCUGAACAAGUCCGUUGGGAAAUCUGUCCGCUUAACGGGCAGGCGUCCAGCGGAAACUGUUCAGCUUGGGACCGGAAGACCUGAGGGGUACGUCUGGGGUAGGAGUGAAAUCCUGUAAUCCUGGACGGACCGCCGGUGGCGAAAGCGCCUCAGGAGAACGGAUCCGACAGUGAGGGACGAAAGCUAGGGUCUCGAACCGGAUUAGAUACCCGGGUAGUCCUAGCUGUAAACGAUGUCCGCUAGGUGUGGCGCAGGCUACGAGCCUGCGCUGUGCCGUAGGGAAGCCGAGAAGCGGACCGCCUGGGAAGUACGUCUGCAAGGAUGAAACUUAAAGGAAUUGG
This 814-nucleotide ribosomal RNA is filed under the name Halobacterium salinarum. RNAcentral's name for it is "bacterial SSU rRNA". It matches the Rfam family "Archaeal small subunit ribosomal RNA", at positions 53 to 868 of the family's 1478-position model. Lineage: Archaea; Methanobacteriati; Methanobacteriota; Halobacteria; Halobacteriales; Halobacteriaceae. The record is from RNAcentral.